GCAGGGGUAGCCAAGCCAGGCCAAAGGCGCGGGCUUGAGCCGUCCCGUAGGGGUUCGCGAGUUCGAAUCUCGUCCCCUGCA
Molecule: transfer RNA, 81 nt
Filed under: Thermoplasmata archaeon
Lineage: Archaea; Methanobacteriati; Thermoplasmatota; Thermoplasmata
Description: tRNA-OTHER
Rfam family: tRNA
About the family: Transfer RNA (tRNA) molecules are approximately 80 nucleotides in length. Their secondary structure includes four short double-helical elements and three loops (D, anti-codon, and T loops).
Source: RNAcentral